GGGAAAGACAGAUACCAGAGACUGGGAAUCAUGAGUGGUGGGAGGAAGAGGAUAAGGAGAACUGGGUUAAAGUGUACAAACAUACAGUAAGUUAGAAGGAAAAAAUUCAAUGUUCAACAGCUGACUGGGGUGACUAUACUUAACAAAGAUGUAUUGUACUCGGGUGGACACCCCAAAUACCCGUGUGGUGACUUGAUCACCACACAUUAUACACAUGUAACAAAAUUUCUCAUGUAUCCCAUAGAUUUGUACAAAUAAAAAAUAAAAAGUCUGGUCUCAUUAAUUCUUUACAUUUAGAAAGGAAUUAAUUUUUACAGAUACAGUACUUACUUUUCAAUUUUAUUGUAUAACUUUUCAUUAAAGUGAGAAAGCCAUUAUAUUCAUAAGACAAACACAGUAUCAAAGAAGUUAAAGUCAUUAGGUAAUGAAAUAACAAUCAUCUCAAAUUUGGAUGCACAUGCUCAAUAACUUUUUCUCUCAGCCUAAAUGCCUUAUUGACAGGGAAAAGUUAUAUGAGAGGAAAACAAAGUGGCAAGAAAACUGCACUGGCCCCUCAGGACAAAAACUCAUCAAGGAAAGAUUCAAAUGUUUUAAAGUUCUGCAAAAGCAAUAUGAAAAACCAAAGUCCAGCAUUGGGGGCGGGUAAAGGUGGGUUUGUGAAUAGGAAGAAAGGCUGGAAGUUUCAGCUCCCUUACAGAGUACCUGGAAAAAAGACACUGAUUAGUAAUUACAUGAGCUAAAUUCUCCUUUAGCAUCUCUCAGUAUUAAUUCUCUGCAAAUAUUUGUAUUACAAUAUUCCAAUUAGCUCCUUGGGAAGAAAUUUUGAUGUAACUAUUCUCAUUCUACAGACAGGGAAAUUCCAGAAGCCACUGCUGAUGGGGAGUGGGGAGGGGCUGAAAAGCCUGGCCACAGAGCAGAGGUGUUUCAACGAGGGUGUGUGGCUUGGCAGACCCGCCUUCAAUUCCUGAGCCUGCACCCAGGAGUGACAAGCCUGGACUCACAGCUGCCCGGCUUUCGAAAGAGAAAAAGAGGUCAAGUGGCCUUUCCCAGCUGGAAGAUGCCUGUUGCAGCUGCUUGAGAGUCCUAUCCGGGAGGACACAAUCUCGAAAAGGGGACCUGCCAGGAGAGCUGUGGCAUAAGCCCACUCGAGUGAGCAUCCCAGGCCAGGGAGGAAUGUAGAGUGGAAGGGUCAAUGGAAGAUUCCAGCCCAGCCAGUGAGGCUGAAACUGGACAUCCUGAAUCCUCUCUUCAUUAAGGCAAACCAUUAUGGAGAGAACACUGCAAACAUGCCAACCCUGGGAACCAGGCACACAUGGAUCGCAUCCCAGCCCUGCCCUUGCUGGUUAUGUCUGGAUCUUCAUCUCAUCUAUAUGUCAGGGGAUGGCACAACUGGCAUUGUGCUCAAGACUGAAAGAGGCAAUGUCUGAAAAGCACAUGGCCCCGUGCAGGUGAGUGCUCAGUAAAUAGUGCACAUUCUUGUCACUGGUCCCAUCUUCAUCUUACAGAACUGACAAUAACCACAGCCACAGAGAUUUUUCCAGUUUGGUCUCAUCUCAACUGGGUGCUACAGAUUUGCCAUGAAAUAUUUUCAGGGA
RNAcentral lists this long non-coding RNA (1595 nucleotides) under Homo sapiens (human). RNAcentral's name for it is "HSALNT0037486". The record is from RNAcentral. Lineage: Eukaryota; Metazoa; Chordata; Mammalia; Primates; Hominidae.